RNAcentral lists this transfer RNA (65 nucleotides) under Notocrater youngi. Its description in RNAcentral is "tRNA-Asn". Lineage: Eukaryota; Metazoa; Mollusca; Gastropoda; Lepetellida; Pseudococculinidae. The record is from RNAcentral.
UAAGCAGAAGCCAAUUGGGGGCGCCUAACUGUUAAUUAGGAACUUGUAGUGUACUACCUGUUUGG